Molecule: long non-coding RNA, 510 nt
Filed under: Cyanistes caeruleus (blue tit)
Lineage: Eukaryota; Metazoa; Chordata; Aves; Passeriformes; Paridae
Description: lncRNA (ENSCCEG00000016717.1)
Source: RNAcentral
AAUAUAGUCAACUAUCAAAGAAACAUUAAAAGACAGCUUCCAUCUGCAAUUCAGACAUCAAAUACUCCUGGAGCAGGAAAAAUAACAUGGUGGCAAUUUCAUCCAUAUCUGCUUGUGGCCUCUGGCCCACUCUGAGCUGCUUCAAAUGGUGCGUACAAAAUGCCAAAUGAUCCCCUCGGAAGAUGUUACCUGAAGGAGACAGGAUUUCUCUGCCCAUCCAGGAAAAUCUGCAGGAACAACUUCUUUUCAGACCAGCAUUCAAGCCUUGCUGCACUUUUUUCCUGUCCAUAAGCCAUCCACAUCUCAUCAUCUACUGACUGGACUUCUACUUCUUGCAGGUUACGUGCAGAAAGCUAAACAUCUUUGGGCUGACAGGAUGAGACAAACUGGUUAUUUAUGUUCUACAGUAUCAUGGGAAAAAAACCCCAAACAUCUGCAUCUGAGAAUCAGUGUUUCAAAAAUCAUAUUUUAGGAACUCUAAGGUAAUAAAUCUGGACCCAUCAUGACUCA